AUAAGGUUAAGUUAAUAAGGGCGCACGGUGGAUGCCUUGGCACUAGAAGCCGAAGAAGGACGUGACAAACGACGAAAUGCUUUGGGGAGCUGUAAGUAAGCGCUGAUCCAGAGAUGUCCGAAUGGGGGAACCCACUAACUAAUGGUUAGUAUCCAUAACUGUUAAGGUUAUGAGAAGGAAGACGCAGUGAACUGAAACAUCUAAGUAGCUGCAGGAAGAGAAAGCAAACGCGAUUGCCUUAGUAGCGGCGAGCGAAACGGCAGGAGGGCAAACCGAAGUGUUUACACUUCGGGGUUGUAGGACUGCGACGUGGGACUUUAAAAGGAUAGAAGAAUUACCUGGGAAGGUAAGCCAAAGAGAGUAAAAGCCUCGUAUUUAAAAUUCUUUUGAUCCCUAGUAGUAUCCUGAGUACGGCGAGA
Molecule: ribosomal RNA, 419 nt
Filed under: Escherichia coli
Lineage: Bacteria; Pseudomonadati; Pseudomonadota; Gammaproteobacteria; Enterobacterales; Enterobacteriaceae
Description: bacterial LSU rRNA
Rfam family: Bacterial large subunit ribosomal RNA
Source: RNAcentral